AGAGUUUGAUCAUGGCUCAGAACGAACGCUGGCGGCAGGCUUAACACAUGCAAGUCGAACGAUGUAGCAAUACAUAGUGGCGCACGGGUGAGUAACGCGUGGGAAUAUACCUUAUAGUGGGGAAUAACUUUGGGAAACUAAAGCUAAUACCGCAUACGCCCGAGAGGGGAAAGAUUUAUCGCUAUAAGAUUAGCCCGCGUGAGAUUAGGUAGUUGGUGGGGUAAUGGCCUACCAAGCCUACGAUCUCUAGCUGGUCUGAGAGGAUGAUCAGCCACACUGGAACUGAGACACGGUCCAGACUCCUACGGGAGGCAGCAGUGGGGAAUAUUGGGCAAUGGAGGAAACUCUGACCCAGCCAUGCCGCGUGAAUGAUGAAGGCCUUAGGGUUGUAAAGUUCUUUCGCCGAUGAAGAUAAUGACGGUAGUCGGGGAAGAAGCCCCGGCUAACUUCGUGCCAGCAGCCGCGGUAAUACGAAGGGGGCUAGCGUUGUUCGGAAUUACUGGGCGUAAAGCGAGCGUAGGUUGCUCGAUAAGUCAGUGGUGAAAGCCCAGAGCUCAACUCUGGAACUGCCGUUGAAACUGUCGAGCUGGAAUCUCAGAGGGGGUAGCGGAAUUCCAAAUGUAGGGGUGAAAUCCGUAGAUAUUUGGAGGAACACCGGUGGCGAAGGCGGCUACCUGGAUGAGUAUUGACACUGAGGCUCGAAAGCGUGGGGAUCAAACAGGAUUAGAUACCCUGGUAGUCC
This 742-nucleotide ribosomal RNA is filed under the name uncultured bacterium. Its description in RNAcentral is "bacterial SSU rRNA". It matches the Rfam family "Bacterial small subunit ribosomal RNA", at positions 8 to 796 of the family's 1533-position model. The record is from RNAcentral.